AAAGUCGUAACAAGGUCUCCGUUGGUGAACCAGCGGAGGGAUCAUUACCAGAGUUUUACAACUCCCAACCCUUCUGUGAACCUACCCAUCGUUGCUUCGGCGGACUCGCCCCAGCGUCCGGACGGCCCCGCGCCGGCCCGCGACCUGGACCCAGGCGGCCGCCGGAGACCACACAACCCUGUAUCCAUCAGUCUCUCUGAAUCCGCCGCAAGGCAACACAAAUGAAUCAAAACUUUCAACAACGGAUCUCUUGGUUCUG
Molecule: unclassified non-coding RNA, 259 nt
Filed under: Ascomycota sp.
Lineage: Eukaryota; Fungi; Ascomycota
Description: partial contains small subunit ribosomal RNA, internal transcribed spacer 1, and 5.8S ribosomal RNA
Rfam family: Eukaryotic small subunit ribosomal RNA (bases 1-47)
Source: RNAcentral